This 253-nucleotide ribosomal RNA is filed under the name uncultured bacterium. RNAcentral describes it as "partial 16S ribosomal RNA". It matches the Rfam family "Bacterial small subunit ribosomal RNA", at positions 524 to 776 of the family's 1533-position model. The record is from RNAcentral.
UACGAAGGGGGCUAGCGUUGCUCGGAAUCACUGGGCGUAAAGGGUGCGUAGGCGGGUCUUUAAGUCAGGGGGGAAAUCCUGGAGCUCAACUCCAGAACUGCCUUUGAUACUGAAGAUCUUGAGUUCGGGAGAGGUGAGUGGAACUGCGAGUGUAGAGGUGAAAUUCGUAGAUAUUCGCAAGAACACCAGUGGCGAAGGCGGCUCACUGGCCCGAUACUGACGUUGAGGCACGAAAGCGUGGGGAGCAAACAGG